This is a small nuclear RNA of Mustela putorius furo (domestic ferret), 107 nucleotides long. The record is from Ensembl. NCBI's taxonomy places the organism in Eukaryota, Metazoa, Chordata, Mammalia, Carnivora, Mustelidae.
GUGCUCGCUUCAGCAGGACAUAUACUAAAAUUGGAAUGAUACAGAGAAGAUUAGCAUGGCCCCUGGACAAAGAUGACAUGCAAAUUUGUGAAAAAUAUCCAUAUUUU